Molecule: ribosomal RNA, 298 nt
Filed under: Salmonella enterica subsp. enterica serovar Weltevreden
Lineage: Bacteria; Pseudomonadati; Pseudomonadota; Gammaproteobacteria; Enterobacterales; Enterobacteriaceae
Description: partial 16S ribosomal RNA
Rfam family: Bacterial small subunit ribosomal RNA
Source: RNAcentral
GUGUAGCGGUGAAAUGCGUAGAGAUCUGGAGGAAUACCGGUGGCGAAGGCGGCCCCCUGGACAAAGACUGACGCUCAGGUGCGAAAGCGUGGGGAGCAAACAGGAUUAGAUACCCUGGUAGUCCACGCCGUAAACGAUGUCUACUUGGAGGUUGUGCCCUUGAGGCGUGGCUUCCGGAGCUAACGCGUUAAGUAGACCGCCUGGGGAGUACGGCCGCAAGGUUAAAACUCAAAUGAAUUGACGGGGGCCCGCACAAGCGGUGGAGCAUGUGGUUUAAUUCGAUGCAACGCGAAGAACC